AGGUCCAGCCUGCCCAGUGACCAUGUUCAACGGCCGCGGUAUCCUAACCGUGCGAAGGUAGCGUAAUCACUUGUUCUUUAAAUGUGGACUAGUAUGAAUGGCACCACGAAGGUUAUACUGUCUCCUUUUUCUAAUCAGUGAAACUAAUCUUCCCGUGAAGAAGCGGGAAUAUAUUUAUAAGACGAGAAGACCCUAUGGAGCUUUAAACAACACAGCAAUUACCUACUAAACUAUUAAGUUUCUGAAUAUUAACACUUUUAAGUAAUCUGACUGUAAGUUUUUGGUUGGGGUGACCACGGAGCAUAACACAACCUCCAUGCUGAAAGAACUCUUUCUAAGCUAAGAACAACCCACCUAAGCAUCAAUAUAUUGACAUUCAUUGACCCAAUUCAUUUGACCAACGAACCAAGUUACCCUAGGGAUAACAGCGCAAUCCGCUUCAAGAGCUCCUAUCGACAAGUGGGUUUACGACCUCGAUGUUGGAUCAGGGUAUCCCAGUGGUGCAGCCGCUACUAAAGGUUCGUUUGUUCAACGAUUAAAACCCU
Molecule: ribosomal RNA, 545 nt
Filed under: Rhinella horribilis
Lineage: Eukaryota; Metazoa; Chordata; Amphibia; Anura; Bufonidae
Description: partial 16S large subunit ribosomal RNA
Rfam family: Bacterial large subunit ribosomal RNA
Source: RNAcentral